CAGCAGCCGCGGGAAUACGUAGGGUGCAAGCGUUAAUCGGAAUUACUGGGCGUAAAGCGUGCGCAGGCGGUUAUAUAAGACAGAUGUGAAAUCCCCGGGCUCAACCUGGGAACUGCAUUUGUGACUGUAUAGCUAGAGUACGGCAGAGGGGGAUGGAAUUCCGCGUGUAGCAGUGAAAUGCGUAGAUAUGCGGAGGAACAUCAGUGGCGAAGGCGGCCAUCUGGGACAACACUGACGCUGAGGCACGAAAGCGUGGGGAGCAAACAGGAUUAGAGACCCCUGUAGUCCCUGUCUCUUAUAC
RNAcentral lists this ribosomal RNA (301 nucleotides) under uncultured bacterium. RNAcentral's name for it is "partial 16S ribosomal RNA". It matches the Rfam family "Bacterial small subunit ribosomal RNA", at positions 509 to 807 of the family's 1533-position model. The record is from RNAcentral.